UGCAGGUGACCAGCCUCUGGACAAAAUGUGUCAUGCUAAGGACACAAAUCCAGAAGAUGGUGUUGUCAUUAGCGAGCACGGUGAAGACGAGAUGGACAUGGAGAGCGAGAAGGAGGAGGAGAAGCCCAAGGCUGGGGGUGCCUUCUCCAAUGCUCUGUCUUCCCUGAACGUGCUCCGCCCAGGUGUGUGCUUACAGGGAUCACCUAGCCUGGCCUAGGGGAACCACCACAGAAGUGCUGUUUGUAAUUAGUACAUCUUUGUAAGGCGAGCUUCUGUGCUUCCAGAUGUACAAAUACAAGAACCAAAAGCUU
Molecule: long non-coding RNA, 311 nt
Filed under: Rattus norvegicus (Norway rat)
Lineage: Eukaryota; Metazoa; Chordata; Mammalia; Rodentia; Muridae
Description: long non-coding RNA NONRATT006863
Source: RNAcentral